RNAcentral lists this ribosomal RNA (464 nucleotides) under uncultured bacterium. RNAcentral's name for it is "bacterial SSU rRNA". It matches the Rfam family "Bacterial small subunit ribosomal RNA", at positions 917 to 1382 of the family's 1533-position model. The record is from RNAcentral.
GGGCCCGCACAAGCGGCGGAGCAUGCGGAUUAAUUCGAUGCAACGCGAAGAACCUUACCUGGGUUUGACAUGGGCGCUAAAGCCGCAGAGAUGUGGUGUCCCUUUGGGGGCGUUCACAGGUGGUGCAUGGCUGUCGUCAGCUCGUGUCGUGAGAUGUUGGGUUAAGUCCCGCAACGAGCGCAACCCUCGUUCGAUGUUGCCAGCGGUUCGGCCGGGGACUCAUCGAAGACUGCCGGGGUCAACUCGGAGGAAGGUGGGGAUGACGUCAAGUCAUCAUGCCCCUUAUGUCCAGGGCUUCACGCAUGCUACAAUGGCCGGUACAAAGGGCUGCGAUACCGUGAGGUGGAGCGAAUCCCAAAAAGCCGGUCUCAGUUCGGAUCGGGGUCUGCAACUCGACCCCGUGAAGUCGGAGUCGCUAGUAAUCGCAGAUCAGCAACGCUGCGGUGAAUACGUUCCCGGGCCUU